This 497-nucleotide ribosomal RNA is filed under the name uncultured bacterium. RNAcentral's name for it is "partial 16S ribosomal RNA". It matches the Rfam family "Bacterial small subunit ribosomal RNA", at positions 28 to 507 of the family's 1533-position model. The record is from RNAcentral.
GAUGAACGCUGGCGGCGUGCCUAAUACAUGCAAGUCGAGCGAACAGACCAGGAGCUUUCUCCUCUGACUUUAUCGGCGGACGGGUGAUUAACACGUGUAUAACCUACCUAUCAGACUGGGAUAAUUUCGGGAAACCGUGUCUAAUACCCGAUAAUAUAUUGAACCGCAUUGUUCAAUAGUUGAAUACGGUUUUUCUUUCACUAAUAGAUUGCUCCGCGCCGCAUUAGUUAGUUGGUAAAGUAACUGCUUAACAACGCUACGACGCGUAGCCGACCUGAGAGGGAGGUCGGCCACCCGGGAACUGAGAAAGAGUCCAGACUCCGAGGGGAGGACGCAGUCGGGAAUCUUACGGAAUGGGGGAAAGCGUAAUGGAGCAACGCGGCGUGAGUGAUGAAGGAGUAAGGCUGGGAAAACUCUGUAAGUAGGGAGGAAGAAAAGUGCAAGUACCUAGGAAGGUAAUGACGGUACCUGAUCAAAAAGCCACGGCUAACUCCGUG